GAAACAUGGGUUCUCGUAGGAACUCCGAAGUUAAGAAUCUCCGAACCUAGUCAGUACCUAGAUGGGUGACCAUUUGCAAACAUCAGGUGCCGAU
This is a non-coding RNA of Acanthosepion pharaonis, 94 nucleotides long. The record is from the annotation of a GenBank genome assembly. NCBI's taxonomy places the organism in Eukaryota, Metazoa, Mollusca, Cephalopoda, Sepiida, Sepiidae.